UACGUAGGGGCAAGCGUUGUCCGGAAUUACUGGGCGUAAAGCGCACGCAGGCGGAAUUGUAAGUCCGUUGUAAAAUUCAGAGGCUCAACCUCUGUCUGUCGGCGGAUACUGCAAAUCUAGAGUAUGUGAGAGGGAAGUGGAAUUCCUGGUGUAGCGGUGAAAUGCGUAGAUAUCAGGAGGAACUCCGGUGGCGAAGGCGACUUCCUGGCACAAGACUGACGCUCAUGUGCGAAAGCUAGGGUAGCGAACGGGAUUAGAUACCCGGGUA
RNAcentral lists this ribosomal RNA (268 nucleotides) under uncultured prokaryote. RNAcentral describes it as "partial 16S ribosomal RNA". It matches the Rfam family "Bacterial small subunit ribosomal RNA", at positions 524 to 792 of the family's 1533-position model. The record is from RNAcentral.